Molecule: ribosomal RNA, 433 nt
Filed under: uncultured bacterium
Lineage: Bacteria
Description: partial 16S ribosomal RNA
Rfam family: Bacterial small subunit ribosomal RNA
Source: RNAcentral
AACGAACGCUGGCGGCAUGCCUAACACAUGCAAGUCGAACGAGACCUUCGGGUCUAGUGGCGCACGGGUGCGUAACGCGUGGGAACCUGCCCUUAGGUUCGGAAUAACUCCCCGAAAGGGGUGCUAAUACCGGAUAAUGUCUUCGGACCAAAGAUUUAUCGCCUUUGGAUGGGCCCGCGUUGGAUUAGCUAGUUGGUAGGGUAAAAGCCUACCAAGGCGACGAUCCAUAGCUGGUCUGAGAGGAUGAUCAGCCACACUGGGACUGAGACACGGCCCAGACUCGUACGGGAGGCAGCAGUGGGGAAUAUUGGACAAUGAGCGAAAGCCUGAUCCAGCAAUGCCGCGUGAGUGAUGAAGGCCUUAGGGUUGUAAAGCUCUUUUACACGGGAUGAUAAUGACAGUACCGGGAGAAUAAGCUCCGGCUAACUCCGUG